Megalobrama amblycephala (Wuchang bream) is the source of this 1561-nucleotide long non-coding RNA. RefSeq lists it as uncharacterized. The record is from RefSeq and is a predicted model, not a curated record. NCBI's taxonomy places the organism in Eukaryota, Metazoa, Chordata, Actinopteri, Cypriniformes, Xenocyprididae. The transcript has 3 exons.
CAGAGUUCCUGGUCGAGCGGAGGACCAAGAUGUGCGUCAAAAGUGGAUGAAACACAUAAACCGAGAUGGCUCAUCACAUGCCAGAUGAUUAAUAAAAUAAUCUUGAAUACCUGUAAGAACAUGUAUUUUAUUGCUACAACUGGUUUGCCGUAACAGCCAAAAAAAUAAAAAAUGGUCGGUAGGUCGUAAAAAAUGUUAAAAAAAAAAAAUAAAAAAUUUAAUUGCAUCACAAUAAGUGAAUUGUGAUUGUCAAAACAUUUUAGUAACUAAGCUGAAUUUUAUUAGGUUUAGUGACGUUACAAUGUUUACAUGGUAGGCUACAAUUUCUGGUAAGCUAUAUGUGGCAGGUGACAGUGAGGGAGUAAAGUACGAAUUGAGGGGUGUGGCUAGCUAUGUAUAAAGAUUGGUGGUAGGAACGAGAACGGUAGGUGCGUUUGUUUCCAGCCGGCGGAAAUAGAUCGACACUCUUACUGUUUGUUUGCGAGAGGUUCGCGUGUGGAUUUUCUUGGAUCUCGGAGAUGGCUCUAUGGAGCCCAUUGAUUCAUAUGCAAGAGGUUUGCAUGUGCUGUCUUUUGGAUCUUUGACAUAGCUCUAUGGAGCCCAAUUGUUGCUCUUGUUGUAUUUGAGUUUUUUUUUUUUUUUUGGUUUGAAUGUGUUGGUUUGGAUAUAUUGUCUAGUCCGCCCAGGUAUUUAGAUCGGUAAUUGGGCUGGAAGAUGUGGUUAUGGCCCUUUGGGCGGACUAGUUUUAUUUGUUUCUUUUUUUUGUAAUUUGUUUGUUUCCCCCAUUGUUUGUAUACUUUACAAGGACACUAGUCGAGUGUUGGAGCAGAGUUGAGCUAUUUUUGCAUGUAAUUCACUUUGAUGAAUUGUGUGAAUCACAAGGUUUCUUUUUAUGAAUUUAUGUACAGGUUUUUUGUGUGAUUUUUCUUUUGUUAUUUUUGUGUGGUUUGAUGCUCAACUCUUGCUUGGUUACCUCCAUAUAUAGGGUGUCCUGUAUAAUAACUUUGUAAAGCCAUCAAUAAAUCUUGGGGAUUUAUUUAAACGAACCUGAGUUGUGUUGAUGUUUAUGUAAAGGUGACCCUUGUUACAUUUUGGCGUAGUCGCAAAUUUUUUCCCCCAAGAUUAUUGGUGGUAAAGUAUUAUAAUUGUGAGUGGGGGAAUAUUUUUUUUUUUGUUUGUUUUUUUUCAACAAGAGCAACAUUGGGCUGUUGUGUUUGUAUAGCAGACAAGUUCCAGCGCCAUGUCUUUGGAAGGAGCUGUAGGAGAUACCAUGGAUCUGGAGCAACGUUCACAAGGAGUUUAUUCACCAACUGCCCCAUCUGGGCCUUCGAGUAGUAGCAUGGACAAUGUAGGUUCAGCUGCAACUGCAGUGGAGAGAGAGGGACAAGUGGUGUUUAUUCAACAAACUGAGAAGGUACCAAAGUUUUCAGGGAAUUUGGAUAGGUCUGAUUCUCUUACCUUAGAAGAAUGGAUUGAAUUGGUAGAGAUUCAUAUUCAAACAAAACCUACUGAAAAGGAAAAAGCUCUGUGGGUGUAUAAUCAUUUGGAGGGUGCUGCCCAA